Molecule: long non-coding RNA, 13931 nt
Filed under: Jatropha curcas
Lineage: Eukaryota; Viridiplantae; Streptophyta; Magnoliopsida; Malpighiales; Euphorbiaceae
Description: long non-coding RNA (JCUR_LNC000424)
Source: RNAcentral
AUAAGAUUAAAUGUUCCCUUUGAUUAGCAACAUUAUCCUUCUGCAAAUUUAAUAGGCACCCAAUGGAAAUAGGUCAAGGAAAAAAUGUUACAUACUUCCAAUCAUACUUAAUUAACUGCCAACUUCAAAAUGCUUGGAGAAAUAAUUAUUUGUAGUUCUUUCACCUGAAACCCAAACAUCGCCUGAAGCCAAUCUAAAAUAUCUUCAUCUCUUUUCUUCUUGUGGUCUUUGGGCCAUGGAGGACCCCUUGUGUAGCGGAGAGCGACAACAGCAGCUUGGAUCUACAAAUGGUUAUACACAAGCAUUUUCAUGCUAAGUGAGAGAAGCUAAAACAAAGCUCACUAUCCAAAGCACACAUAAGAAAUGUACCUCAGGAUAUUUCAUAAUUGCCUGAUUUGCACUAUCAGGAUCAAGUGGAAGGAUAUUGUAAGGGACAUAUAUCUGAGUCUUUUCUGCAACUUUAUCCUGAGCUUCUAAAAUCUUUACAAAUGUCCACAAAGAAUAAAUUUACACAUAUGUAACAGCUGGUCAGCAAUUAGCAUUAUUAAGUUGACAAAAAUUGAAAUAGGUGAUAUCUGCCAUCAGAUUAAACAUUCACAAUAGAGUAAAUGUCACAAGGUUUCACCUCACGAUCUACUUCAAUAGAUUGUGUCAUAUUAACAGCUUUCAAAACCUCAAAGAGAACAUUAGCAGUUUGGUAUGCCUUUGUAAGCUGUGCACUGGAUUUAAAAAGACAACCGUCAAAAAUGGCAACUACGCUGGGAUUCCAGAAAAUAUUAGCUAACAAAACUUCUUACUAAGACAUAAGCAAAUAUCUCUAUCUUUUCUCUUCUACAGCAAAAAACUCACCGAUCAGCUUUAUCAGCAGCAUUUUGCAAGGCUUGGAUAUACUUUUUGUAGUAAUGUUGAUAAAAACUCUGCAUUUCCCGCGCAUCACUCUUUUUUACCCUUCCCAUCAAGGUUGGAUCAUUUUCCUGAAAAGAAUUAAAGAAAACCCCUCUAGUAGCAAAUAGAAGAGAGCAUUAAUGAAGCAAAUAGCUAAAGGUAUCACUUAACCAUAUACUGGUCGUAAUUCUCAAUCUAUAGAAAUUGUUUCUACUAAAAAAAUCAUGUAUUACACAGUGGUCAUGGGUGUCAAGACUUGGACUUCAGAAACUGACAUUCAUUUAUACUAAAAUCAUACCCUGUUUGUAACAUUACUUCUUAUUUUACGCAUUUUUCAUAAUUGCAUUAUGUAUAAACUAUCAACUAUCAGUCCAUAGGACACUUCUUCCUUGAGCAAUUAGCAUCCCAAAAAGACUCAUUACCCUAACAGUUAAAACCGCUCCACACACCAAGACCCCAAUAAUUUAGUUCAUACAAAUCAAAGGAACUUCCAAAUCAAGCAUGGGACUUCAAAAAGAGACAUUCAUUUAUACAAAAAUCAUACCCUGUUUGUAACACUAAUUCUUAUUUUACAAAUGCAGAAUUGCAUUAUGUAUAACCUAUCAGUCCAUGGGAGACUUCUUCCUUGAGCAAUAAGCAUCCCAAAAAAACUCUUUACCCUAACAGGUAAACCAUUCCAAACUCCAACACCACAUCAAUUAAGUUCAUGCAAAUCAAUGGAACUUUCCCAGUCAAACAUGGGAGUUCCUAUUUUAGACAGAAGACUUAGGACAAUCUGUACAUUAUGCAAUCUCAGGUCAAAUUGAGGGCCUUGAAAUGUCUCACACACUGUCAUCUCCGAACAUGCUACUUCAAUGACUUGAGAAGAUGAAGUUGUUAGAAUUAAGCUAAUAAAGCCUUUUUUUUUUUUUUUUUUGGCCUUCACAAAUGGAAGCCAACGAAAUAUCUAGCAUAAUUUUUAUUUCAUCAAUGAGAUGGAAUAUCAGGGAUUAGAUAACAUAAACUGCAGAAUACAAAGUAUAUACAUGCGAAGCUAUUAUAUACAAAAAGUACUAACAUCUUGCAAGAUUUCGGACAACUUGCCAGGACAGUUAAUCUCUUGUCCAAAUAGAACCGCAUUUUUUAUUAAAUGCCAAAUCAUCAAACCAUAAAUAAAGUAAAGAUGGAUAUAUAACAUUCCCAUAGACUAUAAACAUGCAUGUGCACUUCACUAGUUACUACCCAUGAUAAAAUGGAGGCAUCUCAUUCCAGAAUAGGUAGGUCUCCCUCUCUAACACUGGACUCCUAAAGCUAGUCCUAAUUCUCUAAGGACUCCUGUAAAACCAAUUAAUGUUCUCCUUAUCCAAUAAGGACUCAAAAGACUCAAAGGAAAUAUGGGAAUAAUUAUGUAUUUUAUAGAUGACCUUUCAAACAUGACACGUUUAUGUGUCAUGGCACAAUUGGUCCCAAAUACCUAUCAAUUAAAAUAUGGGUUUCUCCAUGUUUACAGUUAGUAGAAAAAAGAAUACAUUAAGUGAAAUUUUUCCUGCUACAUAUUUGUCCACAAUUAUAUAUUUGUUCAUCUGAAGAAUAAUAUUUAUUAAUUAUAUGAUAAUGGAUGGGACCAUUACAUACACUACAAGUUUUUGUUGCUCCAAACCAUUAUACUUGAUGUGUUAGGCAUUUUAUGUUUUACAGUCACUACCGUUAUUUUCCCUUUUCUGCACCACUUCCAACCAACAAUUUCAAUUUUUUUUGCAAUUUAAAUCCUUCAAAAAUUGCCUAAAUUAGCUUAUUCUUGAUUUGGCUUCAUAACAAGGCAAAAAUCGAGAUAAGAGUAUCUGUGGUAUCCUUUUCAAACUUUUCUUGAAGAAGGUGUGUUAACUUUGACUUUUCCCAUGUUGAUUACUUGCUUUUGUAAAUUACUUGUUAACAGAUUUGGUGAUGCUAUAUUGCCACUUAUAUCAUACAUUAGUUUGAUAAUUAGCUAGUGGCAUUUCUCAGUUUUAGUAAAGUCCUUUAACAUAUAUUUUUUAUGCAUUUGGCAACCUUUAUAGAAAUAAUUGUAUAGUGACAAGCUGCAACAUAAAGUGAAAGCAGAGACAGCCCAUUUCCAUUACAAAAGACCAGAAUUUAACAUGAUUGCACAAUAUUUCACUAAAAACUGCAGCCUGCAAAGUUACAAUCUAGGAUCCGUCCUUGAUUAAAAAACUAACUAUUUCUAUUUCUAUCAAAAGCAUCCAAUAAGUUGUGCCAAGGAAAUUCUUUAAACGGGACGAAAAAUAACUUAACUUACCCUUUCAAGACGUUGGAGGAGUGCAGUUUUAAAUUGGCGAACACCACGUCCACUAGAAGUAGGGUCCAACCUAUGUGCCUUCUCAAAGGCAUAAAAUCGGCCUACAUUAAGAGUACCAGAAAAUGAGAUACGGUAUCAAAUGGAAGCUCCAACAUAGAAAUAUGAAAGGAAAAUACCAAUAAGGAUGGGUGUUCACCCACAUGAAAAUAAAGAAAAAGUUUGAAUUAAAAUCCAUAUAAUCAUGAAAGCUUUCUAAGUAAAUUCAACACUAGUAUGGCAUUUGAAGUCCACAACAGAAUUUUCAGAGCUGAAACAAUUAUUUAAGGAAAUCAGAAAUACACAAAAACCUUUAAUUACCUUAUGGAGAUUUAGUAAUCUAGUAAAGGCAGUUGCACAUACUUUCAGGAAUAUAAACAGCUAAUACCAGGACCAAGACAGGAAUAACAUUCAAUUCAUUACAUAAUGCAGCCUUUUUUUUUCACGAGAACAGAAUUUUCUGAGAAAAGAAAAAAAGGAGAAUAGAUUGUGGAGGACAAGCAAUCCUCCACAAUGUUAAAAAGUGCAACCACUUGUCAAAUCUCAUAAUCACAGAAUCACAUGCAACAAGCAUCACGUUCAUACAUUCACUUUCACAUACGCAAGCUUGCCAUGCAACAUGCAAAAGAAAGCCCAAGCAACCCAAAAUACAUUAAGACAUGUAGAAUGGAACACAGCGGAGAAAAACGCAUGAUUCAAAUGAAGUCAAAUUUCUCAGAAUUCUGAGCCUUCAAGAUGUAGCAGACACAAGGCCAACAGGCAACCAAACACUACACACACAAAGAGGCAGACUACUAUACUGGUAAGUAGAAUGAAGGUGUACUUAGUUACAGCUUAAAAUUCAUGCUGCCAUUACAACCUGAAAUUUAAGAACCCAUUUUAAUAAAAAAAAAAAAGGUCAGAAAUAUGUGAAAAAAAAAAAAUUUCCCUCGAAACAUACUAGAAAGCAAUUCAGAACCCAAAUUAAUCACAGAAAAAAGAUAAAAAGUUAAACAAAUCAAAUUACCCAAAAAAAUAAAAAUAAAAAAAAGCCAAAAAAAUGUAGCCUUCUAUAAACUUACAUAGAUAAGCAACUCUUGGGUUGCUAGAUUCUACUUCAUUAGCAACACGGAGAAUAGGAGCUAUCUCAACUAAUGAAGAUGGCACCACCUCACUGUCAAAUAUCGACUCUCCAAGAUUCCCUGCAGUCUGCGUCCUUAUGAUCCGCCGUGCUGGCGGUGGCGUAGCCUGAUCCGGCCCUCCUCUCGACGAGGAAGCCAUCUGUUUCCGUAUCCGUGAACCUUAUUUCCCUUAAAAAUUAAAAAAAAAAAUUAAAAAUAAAAAAUCAAGCUCAUUGCUUCUCUAACUAGCAACCACACAUAAAAAAACGAGAAAAAUAAUAAUAAAAUUGCCAAAAGAUAAACUAAAAUGGAAAUUUCUUCAUUUUUAACAAGAAAAUUUAAGAACUAAAGCAAAUCAAUCUUAGUACCAGUAAUGGUUAUGGCACAACAAUAAAGGAAGUACAUUGCAUUAACUGCAAUCAAAUACUGCAUAAAAGGAAAGUAGAAUGCGAAGGAUUAGUUCAAGAGCUUAGUUUAGAACUUACAAAGAGAGAAAGAAACCCGAACAGAGAACCCAACCAGAGAGAGAGAGAGAGGCUGCGACUGUAAGCUACUUAGUAAAGAAGGAAAGCUAACAUGGAAAGUAAGGGUAGUGAGUGUCCGAGACAGAAAAUAGAAGGAGAGCCAGUGAGGUCAAGCAAAAAGGAUAGUUUAUUUGAAAAAAUUCGACCUUUUUGCUGCUAUUGGUCCGAUCUAAUUUUUGAGGUUUGAGUCAUUCAAUUGACCUUCGGUAUUUGAAUUAUUACGGAAAUGCGAUUGGCUUCUUAUUAUGCUUGCAGCUCUUGUGGUAUAGAUUAUAUUACUAAAUUGCCCCCCACGCCCACAGAGCCGCAUCUUUGUUUCUUCUUCUUUUUCAGACACAAACUAGUAUUUUAUAUAUUAUUAGUGGCACUACAAUUUUAUUUUAUUUUUCUUCUAUAGAGAAAAAUAAAAUUGAACUGCAUUAAAGGUGUCUCAUACAAUAUUUCCAUUUUCUUUAAGGAAUAUGCAAUUUUUCAUUUAAUAAAAAUUAAUUGAAAAUAACAGUUACAAUUAGUUUUCAAGAAAAUAACAGUUACACUUUACACCAAAUAAAUAAAGAGAAAUGAUAUUAAUAAAUAAUAUUUUAAUAAAUAUUUAAUUUUUUAUGUCUCAAUUUUUAUUAUAAUAUUUUUAAUAUUUAUAUAAUUGAUUUGUAGAUAAAUAAUUUAAAAUUUGCAAUGUUCGAAUUUAAUUUAACAAAUGUGGAUAAUAUUUAUAAAUUGCAAUUAUAAUAUUAAACUAUUUUUAAAAAAUAUACAAUAAUAAGAUUACAAAAUAAAAUAUUCUAUCCGUUAAUUCUAUUUAUUUUUAUAAUUCUAUUUAUUUAUAGAGUCAAAUAAAAAUUUAUGAUUUUGAUGGCUAUUUUAUUUAUUGAAAAAUUUUUUAUUGAGCUAAUUAUUUAUUUCGUCAUUUAUUUAGUCAAAUGAUUAUUGUUUAUUGUGUUGUUGAUUAUUAUGUCUUGAUAUUUAUGAUUUUAUAUUUAAUUAAUUAAUUUCAAUACAUACUAGGUGGAGGCCAAUUAAAAAAAUAUGCUACAUGUCAUUUCUUGGAAAAACAUGCUAAGUGGAGCUUUAUAGAAAGAUUAUGACAUAUAUCAAUUUCUUGGAAAAAAAAUAUUUACUUUAUAUAUGUUGAUUAGAAAAUUUUAAUUUUAGUCAAAUAAUAGAAUAAACCAAUAUUUCAAAAGAUCGCAAACCGGAAAAAAAAAAAUUGCAUCACAAUAAAAAAAUAAUAAAAAAAAAACUGAUUUAGGAAUAAAGGAUACCUUUAUAUUUUCAUUAAGCAUAUAACGGGGAAAAAAAAUAAAACUUAGAUGAGAGGGCUUAUAAGUUUAAGUGUUGUAAAUUACAGGGAUUAAAUAAUAAUUUUAUCAAUUUUACCAUACUAUAACGAUUAAAUAGUAAUUCAUCCUUAAAAAAAUUUUAUAUUUUAUUUAUUUUUUAACAUUUCUUUUUUGAAAAUGUAAUUUAUUAAUAAUAAUAUUAAGAAUUAUAAAUAAGCAUAUAAACCAGACAUAGGACUUUAAUAUUAGUAUCUAAUAGAGUUUGUUGAUCUUUUAAAGAAAUAAAAGAAUUUAUAUUCUUUUGAAUGAAUAUUAGUAGCUAAUAAUAGAUUUCUGCUUUUAGCUUAUCUUGACAAAAGAUAUAAAUUUUUAUAGCAGCAACUAGUCCGUUACUUAAUUUGAAUAUUAAAAUAAUAAUUUUUUUGGAUAUUCUAUAACUAGAUUGCUUUUUCUAUAAUUUGCAAUAUAUGACGCACAUAAAUAUAUAUCCGCCGUUAUGCGUCAAUAGCAUCAAAGGAGGAACAUAUUGUACUACAAGGCUCCAUUGAUAGAAGAUUUUUACUUGCAAAUAAAGAUCUAAAAUCUCCAACCGAAUAAAAUCAAAUAUCAUAGUUUUAUUUAGUAAUAAACCCUCACAAAGAAGGGGAAAAAACUCCAAAUAUGGAGACAAACAACAAUAACAAAACAAAAAUAAAUAAAUUUAUUAUAGGAAAAACAGAUCUGAGUUUAUUAAAGCAAUAUUAAAAGCAAAAAAAGGUGAAGCGAAAAAAAUUUUAGAAAAUAGGAAGUACUAAAUCUAGGGUUAAAAAACUAAAGAAAAAGAAGAAGAAAAGAUAUAUAUAUAUAUAUAUUUAACAAUUAUUAGACUAGUCAUUUAUCAUUAUCGUGAAUGAGACAAUUCUUUUUCAUUUGUAAAAAGAUAAAGAGCAGUACUCUUUUAAAAAUAUUCCUUAAUGAAAUUAAUAUACAAAUUUUAUAAAUUGAAUAAGAGAGAAUAAAAUAGUGUUGGUGUAGAAGUUGGCAAUAUUUUUUCUUUAUUUGUUAGUAAACUUUUAAUACUGUUUCAGGGCUUAUUAAUUUAGUUAUUUAUUUUUACUCUUUGUUGGUUGUUAGUGAUUAAUAAGAAUCAUCAUUCGAUUCAAUUGAACUAAAUUUAUUAAAAAUAUAAAAUUUAAAAAAUAUAAAAAUUGAACCAAACUAACUAAAUAUGUUUAUAAAACCAAAUCAAACCGAAAAUAAUUCAAUAUUGUUAAUAAAAAAAUAAAAUUGAAAUAAUUGAACAAAUAAUUUUUUUUACCUUUUCAGAGUAUCUGAUUUAGUUCGAAAUUGAAAUUAAGCUAACCAACAUUAUGUUAAUUCAGUUUGAUUUUCUAAUUUAAUAUGAAAUUUAAUCAGGUUCAGUAAUUUGAUUGUUUCAGUUUAUUUGAAACAAAAAAAAAUUUGAAAUUCAUAUUUAACUAACUAAACCACAUUGAUUUUAUUGAAAAGUUAAUUCGAACUAAAUAGAAUAAUAUUAUAUUUAUUUUGUUUAAUUUCUUAGGUAAAACCAAAGCUUACUAACCCAAAGUUUUUUUUUUUUUUUUUUUGAAAGGAAGAAAAUAUCAUUAGUCAGAAAUAUCAUAUAUAAUAAGAGCUUCUAUAUUUCUUGGAAGCUCAUGCAAAAGACGAGUAUAUGAAUGAGCGACCCAAGCUAAAGAGUGAGCUACUCUAUUCACUUGCCUUAGUAUCCAUUUAACAGUAAUAUUAUUACUUCAUAAACUCAAAUGCUGAUAAUCAGCAAUCAUCAAACCCCAUUGAGAUAGGUCAGUAGAAUUACUUUGAAAAGCUAUAACUACUUCCUUAGCAUCCAACCCUACCUGCACAUGUGAGAAGUGCCUCACUUUAAUCCAUAAGAGGACCUCCGUUAAACCCAACACCUCAGCCAUUCUAGCUUCAUAAACACCAUUGAAAAAAUCAGAUAAGGUAGUAACAAAAUCUCCACUCCCAUUAUGAAACACAACGCUAAAGCCCACUUUAUUUAAUCCCUUAAAAACGGUCGCAUCUACAUUGCACUUUAAAAAACUAGCUGAUGGAGGAGACCAGCCUAAUUGCAGAGUAAGACUAACAGCUUGAAGCCUACCAUUUUCACUAACACACUGAGCUUCAGACCAUUCGUGAAGAUAAUGUAGAGCCGCAGCAACCAACUGGCAAGGGUCAGAAAUAAAUUUCUGCCAAAUAAACAGGUUCUUGUGGAACCAUAUGAAUAAAACAACACAACAUCUCUACACCAUUUCAUCCCCUAAUCUAUCCUUGACAUUCAGCAACCAAUACAUAAAAGAGUCACCAUCUACACUCACCAAUCUAGCAUCCAAUGAAAGCCAACACAUAGCAGCUCACAGACACCAUAACAAAAGAUGCUCGAUAGUUUUUGUCUAAUCAUAAUAUACACAACAGACAUUAACAUGAAUGCCCCUCGAUAAACUAGACCUGGUUGGUAGAAUAUCACAACACACCCUCUAAAGAAAACUUUUAACCUUAGAAGGAACUCCUAGAUUCCACAAGAACUUCUAAAAGCGUUGCACCUAUAACCUGUAACAAGAGUGCAUUUUAAAGGCUUAAUGAUAGGCCGAUUUGACAGUGAAGGUCCCCACUCUCUCCAGAUGUCAGACAAUUGUAUCAUCACAGUUUUGCAUACCUAGAGGAAUUUGAAGAAUACGACCAGCAUCAACAGGAGCAAAAAGGUCACGCACAAAGCCCUCAUCCCAUUUUUUAGUAACAAGGUCAAUCAAACCAAACACUUUAAGCUCCUCAAAACCUUCGAUAAUAUCUGAUUCUACAAAAUUAGGACUACUACACACCCAAGGAUCAUCCUAAACACAAAGUCUAAACCCAUUUCUAGCCCUCCACCGAAUUCCAGCUUUUAGCACAGGUUGAGAACAGAAAAGACUCCUCUAUAUAUAACUCGAAUUUUGGCCUAAAAUGGCGUUACAAAGAUCCCCAUUUGGGUAGUAUUUUCCUUUGAGGAUCUGUGAUAAAAGAGUACUUUGGUUGGUUAUUAGCCGCCAACCUUGCUUACCCAAUAAAGCUAAAUUGAAACUAUGAAGGUGUCAAAAAUCCAUACCUCCAUUAGUUUUACUCAAACAAAUUUUAUCCCAAGCUAACCAAUGAAUGUUUUGCCUUCCAUCCUUCUUUGAAUCACUAAAAAGAAUUCAACAUCCUUUCAAGCUCCAUAUAGGUAGUCACAGGUAAUAAAAACACACUCAUGCAAUAAGAUGGUAUUACUUAAGCCACUGAUUUAAUAAGGACUUCCUUACCCGCCUUGGUUAACGACUUGCUUUUCCACCCUUGGAGAUGCUUCCAUAUUGGAUCUCGAAUAUAGGCAAACACAGGUUUCUUGCUUCUGCCAACUAUAGACAGGAGGCCUAAGUAAUGACUUGGGCUAAGAGGUGUAUGAACAUUUAACAAACCAGGAAUAUUAAUUCUCAAUAAAUUACUAACGUUAGGACUAAACAUAAUACCUAAUUCUAGUAGUUAAUAGUUGCCCAAAAGCUUGCUCAUACAAAGAUAAAAUAUGCUUAACUCGAUUCACUUCAAAAACAUUUGCCCGAAAAAAGAAAAAAUUAUUGCUUACGAAAAGCAAAUGAGAAACAGAAGGUGUACCUCUAAUAAUUUGACAGCCAUGGACAUCACCACAACCUCUUCGCCUGUCUGAAUAGAGCUAAAAGCCCCUCCGCACACAACAAAAAGAGAUAAGGCGAUAAUGGAUCCCCCUGCCUUAGACCCCUCUCGGGAAAAAUAGCCUAUAUUCGUUCCAUUAAAGGAAAUUGAAUACUUUACUGAAGAAAUACAUAACAUAAUCAAGUCAACUCAUCAUGAAGCAAGACCCAUGUUAAUCAUCAUCGCUUGAAGAAAACCCCAAUCCACACAAUCAUAACACUUGCUAAUAUCGACCUUUAGCGUGGCUAGACCUUUCUUUCCAAAAGUUUUUCGCUUCAUAUACUGGAGGAUCUCAAAAGCUACCAACCCAUUGUCAUUGAUAAGUCUACCCGGCACAAAAGCUGACUAAGAUGGGGAAAUAACUUUGUCCAAUACUUUUUUCAACAUGUUAGCUAAAACCUUUGCAAGAAUUUUGUAAACCACAUUAUAGAGAGAAAUUGGCCAAAAAUCCUUAACUGUUUGAGGAGCCCCAAUUUUUAGAAUUAAAGCUACAGAGGUACAGUUAGGAAAAUUUGGAAACUCACCGGUCGACAAUCAAGUCUUAUAGUUGAAAAUCACAUCUGUCCCCACAAUUUGCCAAAAAUUCUGAUAAAAGUAUACAUUUAAACCAUCAGAACCUGGACUCUUGUACGGAUGCAUUUGGAAUAAAGUAGUCUUAAACUCAUCAUUUGUAUAAAGCGUAAGGAGCAUCUCAUUGUCAGUCGACAAAAUAGAAAGAAUAAUAAAAUCUGUAACAGAAUCAUAAGAGUGUGGCGAAGCAGAAAAUAAAUCAGUGAAAUAUUUUGAACAAUACUCCCACCGCAACGUCAUCUUCACACCAAACCCCAUCCUCAUCAUACAACCCCUUAAAUGAAUUAAUACGAUUUUGUUGCAUUGCAGCUGCAUGAAAGAAUACUAUGUUACUAUCACUAUUUUUCAACCAAAACACUUUGUUGCGCUGCUACUAAAAUAUUUCCUCUUGAGCUAAGUUAUUAUUCAAGUCGAUUUUAGCUUUCUCAUAAUCCGCAAUCGACGCUGCAUCAGUUAGACCAUGCAAACUAACCAUAGUUAUUAAUGGUUGAUUAAAUUGUGAAUGUUGGUCAUUUUUGUAAAAUUUUAGACAAUUGCUAAAACAUAGAGCUUGUUCAACAAUAAUUUUUAGUGUUUAUUAUUUUGGCCUAGGCCGUAUUCGGCAACACCGUUUUGGAUAGCUUUUAGUGUUUUGAAUUAGUCAAAACGCUUUUUCUCUAUAUUAUUGUGUUCAGUAACCUGAUAUAUGAAAUAGAUUUUAGAGGAUAAAUGAGCAUUUUCUAAAACGCUAUCCCACCUAAUGUUUAGCGGCUUAGGUUUUUUUAAUUCUUUUAUGCUUUAAAAUCUUUCUAUAUCACAUUAUAUCUUUUUAUUAUUUUUUAUGCUUGGCUUGUUUAUAAUUGAUAGUAAGAAAAAAUGUUUAUUUGUUUUUUGCCUCCAAAGGCGAACGGGGAUUAGUUAGGUUUGUGGACUAUUAAAAUGAAUACAAGCCUGGAUACCUCAUGCAAGCAUAAAAAAUGUUUGUUUAUAUAUUUGCAUUUGAACUCGAGAAAAUGUUAAAAAUUAAAAAUAUUAAUCCACUAAAAUAUUAAAAAUUUCCAAUUUUAUUUAUAAAAUAAUGAACUUUUUAAUUUUUGCUCCCUUAAAUUUUGAAAAUUUAGGUUUUGUGAAAUCAUCUUUAUAUAUAUAUACUGAGUUUAAUUCUAUGGUUAUAAGUGAAAUUCUGAGUGAAUAUUACAUUAUCAUUUUUUUAACAUUUUAAAUUUAAUUGUCAAUCAAACAACUGUUUUUAUCAAAUACUUUCGCUUUCAGUUGCUACUUAAAUAGCUAACAACUAGCAGCUAACAUCUAACAAUUGACAUCUAAUAGUUAAAAGCUACUAAAACAGCUAACAACUAGUAGGUAUUAGAACAGCUAAAUUUGUCAAAUGGACCCCUAGUCAAAAUACAUGAUGUUUAUAUUAAUAUUGAGAGGUUGAAAAAAGUAAAUUAUAAGACGUUGUCUCUUAUCAACAAGUAAAAUAACUAACAACUAUUAGAAUAAUUAACUUCUAUUAAAACAACUCAUGUUACAAAGUAAGAGCAUAAAAUCACCAUUAAAUAUAAGUAUAUAUAUAUAUAUAUAUAUAUAUAUACUUAUAUUUAAUGGUGAUUUUCAAAGCUGACGUGUCACUCCCAUGUUUGAGUGUUGUUUUUUCUCUUUUUUUUUAUAAAUUUUCUAAAUUUUUAGUAAUUGUUGAGCAUUUUUAUUUUCAUAUCUAUAUAUACCUAUAUCUAAAAUCUAAAACUUUGAAUAAUUAAAACUUUAAAAAUUUUGAAUUAUUGAAUUUAAAACUUUAAAACUUUAAAACUUUUGAAGGUUUGAAUUUAGAACUUCAAAAAAUUUAAAUUUAUAUAUAUAUAUAUACACCUCUUUCAAUGAUUAUUUUCACAAUGGUUUUCUUCUUAUCUUUUUGUUGUUUCUUUCAAUCAUUUUAUUUAAAUUUUCUAGGUUUGGCUAUGAUUAUAUUUUAAAAUUAUAUUCAUUUAUCAUAAUUAUCUAUAUCUAUAUUCAAUUUUGAAACUUUUUAAAAUUAUAUGUAUAUCUUUUAUAAUAUUUUAUUUGCUUCUUUUUAUUUCUCUGAAGUUGUAUGAUUUAUUUUUUAUAUAAAUAUUUAUUUUAUAUAUACAAUAAAAAAUCUCUAAUACGAUGUAUGAUAAUAAAGCAAUAAAACAAUCCGGGCAACGCGCGGGCUUCUACCUAGUUAUAUAAAUAUAAAAGCUACAUAUAUCAUUUUCUGCUUUAGUGUAUUGUGUAAAUAAAAAUAGUAAUUAAGUCUUUUUAAUAAUAUUUAAUAAUUAGUUUUAUUUUUAAAUAAUUACAAAUAAAAUAAUUCAAUAUCGGCCUAGUAUCUUUGAAUUGAAAUUAAAGGCUUUUAGUGUAGGGGUAAUCUCGUAAGAGCAUGAUCCUACAUAGCUUAACCUACAAAUAUAUACAAUAUGGGUAUGGCAUGUUAAAACCAAGAACACUAUGGGCAAUUUUGGUAGGUGAUUCAAAAUUCAUAAAAAGAGGCAAGAUUCUUAAUGAUCUAAAGCUAGAACGCCGGAUAAAAAAGUAGCCGUUUUAGUAAGAAGCUUCAAUUCACCAUUUUACCCUUACUCUCUUAUUUAAUUACCUAAACUCAACCCAUAACUCUCAAAAACUGCGGGGGCGAGAGAAGUAAAUUGAAACAAUCUAUAAGCCAAACCAAGUUUUAAGUUAGGUAAAUAAAGUAAAUGUGAAGGGCAGUUAGGACAUUUCGAUGAGUAAUAUCGCUGGGAGAAGAGAUAAAUGUCGGUUUGUUCUGUUCUGUGCAAAAAUUCCAUAAAUGCUUUUUGUUAUUUUAUUUGUUUAUUGGGUCCCACUGCCAUUAGUCGCAACUGACAAGAGCAGUAGUCUACUCUACUCUACGGCGGUGGGACCCAAUAAGACCACAGGACCUGCUCUAACGUGGCAUUCACUGUCUGGGGCCUAUCUAUCUUCUGUGUAUUUUCUAUUUGUUUCUUUGGCUUUUAAAAUUUAAAGAACCGUUUCCCUAUGCAUUGGUUGGGCUCCAUGCUGAUGCUGACUCCGAAUAAUAUUUUAAAUUGAUAAAAAUAUCUAAACUCUGGACUUGGUUUUAAUUGUCAUUUAAAUUUAAUUUUCUUCAUAGUAUGUUGAAUUUUCAUUUUAGUUAUAAUAAUAUUCUAAUUUUAAAUUGCAUCUAAUUUUAUAAAUAAAAUAUUAUUUUUAUAGAAUCCAAUUUAAUAUUUUCCCCAAAUUACACUAAUAAAUAAAUAUUUAUAUUUAUUUAUAUAAAUAUUAAAAUAUAAAUAAUUUAUCAUCUUAAAAAUAAAAUGACGUCAUAAUGAAUAAAGCUUAUUUUUAUAAGAGAUUUAACCUUCUGCAAAGUAAUAAUUAUUUGUAAUAAGAUUAAAUGUUCCCUUUGAUUAGCAACAUUAUCCUUCUGCAAAUUAAACAGGUACCCAAUGGAAAUAGGUCAAGGAAAAAAUGUUACAUACUUCCAAUCAUACUUAAUUAACUGACAAAUUCAAAAUGCUUGGAGAAUUAAUUAUUUGUAGUUCUUUCACCUGAAACCCAAACAUCGCCUGAAGCCAAUCUAAAAUAU